GUGUUCGCUUUGGUAGCACAUAUAUAAAAACUGGAAAAAUACUGAGAAGAUUAGCAUGGCCCCUGCCCAAGGAUGACACACAAAUUUGUGAAGCCUUUCAUAUUUUU
This 107-nucleotide small nuclear RNA is filed under the name Moschus moschiferus (Siberian musk deer). Lineage: Eukaryota; Metazoa; Chordata; Mammalia; Artiodactyla; Moschidae. The record is from RNAcentral.